This is a long non-coding RNA of Ictalurus punctatus (channel catfish), 1483 nucleotides long. The record is from Ensembl. Lineage: Eukaryota; Metazoa; Chordata; Actinopteri; Siluriformes; Ictaluridae.
GAAUACUUGUCCACGCUUAUGCAUGCAUGUAUCGGGCCAGCGCCUGAGCAGCAGAAUGGGGAUUUCUUCAUUACGUGGCGGCCGGUCGAGCCGCCACGCCGGCCGCAUAUCAAUGCGCUCAUCAACGGGCGCUUUUACGUGACGGGAGCGCUAAUCCGCUGGCCGAGCCGCGGUGGAGUGGGGCGUCUCUCUGACGCCGCGCUCCUGAUACCCAGGCCUUCAUUAUCUUAUUAUUCUGAAGAGGCAACAGAAAGAGAAGGAGGGCAAAAAAAAUCAAUAUUCACCUUUCUCUUGUCUGAAGUGCAACGGCGGUGGAACAGUCCUUCCCCUGCCCUCUGUCUGAAGUUUCACGUGGCGCACGAGCGGUAAGCGAUGGCGACGCAGACGAGCGGUACCAUCCGCGCAGUAAUUAACCCGAAGACGCUGGAUAAAAGUAGAUUCAUUUAAUUAGACGAAUGUGGUGGGAGGAUAUGACACGGUUUAGUGAAAGACCGAGCUCACUUAAUGACUCGACUUCAACGGAGCAUGUAAUUCUUUUUUUGCAUCUUAUUCAGGAGCUUGUUCACAUCAAAUCGUUAAUUAUCCUCGUAACGUAAAGGUGACUGUUCUAGUAAUAAGGGCGAGAACCGUUCGACCGUGUCGACUCGAGUUGAAACGAAACAUCCUUCAGAAACACGGACUAUCAAAUCGGAGCGGCGGGAACGUGGAGACUGCCAGGGCUCACCGCUCAGUGAGAGACGGACGGACUGGGAGAUCUGUCCGGGUUUAACCCUGACGCUCGUAUGUUUUGGACCGUGAGCAGAUCCUUUCUCUCUCCAUACUUUAUCCUUCAAUCACUUUUGUCGAGGUUGCAGAACUUCCGUGGCUCAUCUCUGUAUUUCUUUGCGAAUCCCAAUUUGGCUUUCCGAUUAAUUACUGCUGAUGAGUGGUUUGCAUCUCGAGGUACGUCAUCCUUGAACCCCCGUCCUGUGGCGCUCGUUGAGGUUUUUCUUCCCGGCGCUCACAACGUUUUGUCAUCAGCUGCUUUUGUUUUCCUCGGCCGACCCGUCCGGUGUCUGUCGCUCGGUGGCUUCUUUCUUUUUCCGGAUGUUCCAAAUCGUCGUAUCGGCUACACUCGGUGUUUCUGCAGCGCAAAAAAAGAUUUCCCCUCUUUUCUCGGCUUCGGAACGGCUUGCGUUCCGCCCAUGGACCGCUCCCCGAUCUUCAUGUUGGUUUAUCCUUUUUAAAACCAGUGCAGUCUUCACGGGCAAAAGCGACGGCUUAAAACGUUCCCAGCUGUCUGUCGUAUAAACAGUUCAUCUUUUGAUCGCAAAUCCGCUCGAAGUCUCGCCAUUCCGGUCGUUUCGGAGGGGGCUGUAUAAGCUUGUAAGCUCUCGGAGAUGUCUUUCGUCGUCGCACCACCAUCGCUGACGUCGUCUCCGCGUUAAACAUGCCGUGGCAUUUCCAAUCAUCUCUGAACUUCAGAAGCGGCGAGACAUCGCCC